Molecule: ribosomal RNA, 254 nt
Filed under: uncultured bacterium
Lineage: Bacteria
Description: partial 16S ribosomal RNA
Rfam family: Bacterial small subunit ribosomal RNA
Source: RNAcentral
UACGAAGGGGGCUAGCGUUGCUCGGAAUCACUGGGCGUAAAGCGCACGUAGGCGGAUUGUUAAGUCAGGGGUGAAAUCCUGGAGCUCAACUCCAGAACUGCCUUUGAUACUGGCGAUCUUGAGUCCGGGAGAGGUGAGUGGAACUGCGAGUGUAGAGGUGAAAUUCGUAGAUAUUCGCAAGAACACCAGUGGCGAAGGCGGCGACCUGGUCCGACACUGACGCUGAGGCGCGGAAGCGUGGGGAGCAAACAGGG